UGAGGAAUAUUGCACAAUGGGCGAAAGCCUGAUGCAGCAACGCCGCGUGAGGGACGAAGGCCUUCGGGUCGUAAACCUCUUUUCUGGGGGACGAGUAAGGACGGUACUCCAGGAAUAAGUCUCGGCUAACUACGUGCCAGCAGCCACGGUAAAACGUAGGAGGCGAGCGUUAUCCGGAUUUACUGGGCGUAAAGCGUACGCAGGUGGCUUCGUUAGUCGGACAUGAAAGCUCCUGGCUUAACUGGGAGAGGUUGUUCGAUACUGCGGGACUUGAGGUUGGGAGAGGGACGUGGAAUUCCCGGUGUAGAGGUGGAAUGCGUAGAUAUCGGGAGGAACACCAGUGGCGCAAGCGGCGUCCUGGCCCACACCUGACGCUGAGGUACGAAAGCGUGGGUAGCAAACAG
This 404-nucleotide ribosomal RNA is filed under the name uncultured bacterium. RNAcentral describes it as "bacterial SSU rRNA". It matches the Rfam family "Bacterial small subunit ribosomal RNA", at positions 355 to 775 of the family's 1533-position model. The record is from RNAcentral.